Molecule: long non-coding RNA, 483 nt
Organism: Miniopterus natalensis
Lineage: Eukaryota; Metazoa; Chordata; Mammalia; Chiroptera; Miniopteridae
Source: RefSeq, a predicted model, not a curated record
AGCAGUUUAUGGGUGCGCGCCUUGCCGAGCGUUUCUUGGGCUGCUUUUUUCCCCAUCGGCUGUGGGUCCCACAAAACCUGAAUUUCUACAGCUCUAAACCCAUAAGGCUGGAACAUUUGAAAUGACUUCUGAAAAGACUAUGAAAAAUGUUUCCUAUGAACCAAUUCUCACUCCUUUCCUAGAUAAAAACUGAGGCAAUGCCAUAAAAACAAAUGAAGUCUUGUUACACUCUACAAUCUGGAUGAAUCUUAAAAACAUUGGGCUAUGUAAAAGGAACCAGACAGAAAAGGCCACAUAUAGCAUGAUUCCAUUCAUAUGAAAUGUCCAGAAUAGACAAAUCUGUAGAGACGGAGAGCAGAUUAGUGGUAGCUGAGGGAAGGGGGAAGAGGAAUUGGGACUGAUUGUUAAUAGGUAUGGGGCUUCUUUUUCUUGUGAUGGAAAUGUUCUGGAAUGAUAUAGUGGUGAUGGUUGCACAACAUAGUG